RNAcentral lists this ribosomal RNA (256 nucleotides) under uncultured bacterium. RNAcentral describes it as "partial 16S ribosomal RNA". It matches the Rfam family "Bacterial small subunit ribosomal RNA", at positions 98 to 354 of the family's 1533-position model. The record is from RNAcentral.
CGGGACGGGUGAGUAACGCGUGGGCAACCUGCCUUACACAGGGGGAUAACACUUAGAAAUAGGUGCUAAUACCGCAUAAGCGCACAGCUUUGCAUGAAGCAGUGUGAAAAACUCCGGUGGUGUAAGAUGGACCCGCGUCUGAUUAGCUGGUUGGCAGGGUAAAGGCCUACCAAGGCGACGAUCAGUAGCCGGCCUGAGAGGGUGAACGGCCACAUUGGGACUGAGACACGGCCCAGACUCCUACGGGAGGCAGCAG